UUAAAUUUUAGGGUCAUGCUUCCUUCCUUCAUUCCAAUUGGCUCUCUCAACUCACGCGACAGACACACCAGAGAAUAUUAGUCCACGCCGUCCGCCUCUGCAUCAGCCGCCGCCCGGCACCACCACCGGUUACCCCGCCUCAGCUAUCACCACCACCGCCUCUGCCUAAAGCCUAAGUGACAAUGAGAUGAGAGCAAUGAAGUUCUGGGAUUGGUACUUGAAGAUAGCAGUUGGGUCAGCGAUGGUUGGUGGUUCAAUGGAGCUUUUCAUGAUUAAAACCGGUUUCUGUACGAUAAAGUAGCAGUUUUGGAGUCAGAGAAGAGGGCUUGGGAGAGUUCACCUGAAGCUCAGGCCAUGAGAGAAGCUCUCAAUCCUUGGGGGGAUCAAGAGAAGAAAGGAAAGAAAAGUUCCUAGUUGCGUUUUAGAAUGGACUCCGUCUGGUCUGGUUUGCAUAUCCAAUCCGCACUCAGUCAGAGUUACCUUUCCACUAAUAUCGAGGUUUCAAUUCUUGCAUCUCUUCUCGCGUUUAAUUACAAUUCUGAAAAAUCAUUUUUGCACCUACUAUGCACCUAUCGACUUACAUUGCGUCUACAGAAAAUGGGCAGUUUGGAAGAUCAGAAUAUCUUGUUUGCUGAUUGCUGUUGAUGAAACUUUGAUCCCUGCCUUUGUUGCAGUUUUUAUUGUUGAAUCCAAUUGAUUGGUUUGAGUUAUUGCUGGUACAAGUUUUUUGUGUGUUUUGGAAAUAAUGUGUAGUUUGUUGGCAUUUCCAUUCUGUCAAUGUAGUGCAGUUUGGAGCAUAAAAUCUUAAUCAAACAUCAAUUUAACGCUUA
Molecule: long non-coding RNA, 830 nt
Organism: Salvia miltiorrhiza (redroot sage)
Lineage: Eukaryota; Viridiplantae; Streptophyta; Magnoliopsida; Lamiales; Lamiaceae
Exons: 4
Source: RefSeq, a predicted model, not a curated record